CUGUUCCUGGUGGUCGACGCCCCCUACUCCAACAACAAGCAGUUCCCUUCCCUUGCCGUAGAUGUCAACCGCCCGGCUUCCAGGCAGUCCGCGCGGGCGUGCCCCUGGUCGGCUCGCCCUUGCACGCAUCGCCCCUGGUCGCAGCACCUGGCGAGCCACCCCUUCCCCAUGCUCGGCCGGCACCGCCUCCCCUACCGGCGAGCAACCCUGCCGACGUCGUUGAGCUGCGUCGAGAUCCAUGGCCGUGACAUCCUGCGCCGCCUAAGCCACAACUUCGUCAUUGGCCACCCGCUCACGUCGUGCGUCGUUGCCCGCGUCCCCAGCUACGGCAGUCGCUCGCUCCGACCAAUCAAAGCCCCUAGUCCCUGCUCUAGCCAGCCCUCCCCCUCGUGCGUUCCAUGCUUGUGCGGCUGCGCCAUGGAUGAAGGCCCCCGCGCUCUGGCCAGCCAUCCGUUUGAUUAG
RNAcentral lists this unclassified non-coding RNA (462 nucleotides) under Zea mays. Its description in RNAcentral is "misc RNA Zm00001eb415370". Lineage: Eukaryota; Viridiplantae; Streptophyta; Magnoliopsida; Poales; Poaceae. The record is from RNAcentral.